GCUAAAAAUCUAACCCUAAAACAAUGUAUAAAUACCCAUCACCUCUAUUUAUAAACUAAAACAUUUAUAAAAUUUAGUAAAGGCGAUUGAAAUAUAUUAUCGGAGUUAUAUAAACAGUACCGCAAGGAAAUGAUGAAAUAAAAAUGAAAUAAUUAUUAUGCACAAAAUAGUAGAGAUACAACCUCGUACCUUUUGCAUCAUGAUUUAACUAGUUUAAUCAAGCAAAAUGAAUUUCAGUUUGUUCCCCCGAAACUAAACGAGCUACUUCAGGGCAGCUUUAUGAGCCAACCCAUCUCUGUUGCAAAAGAGUGGGAUGACCUUCAAGUAGAAGUGAUAGACCUAACGAGUUUAGUGAUAGCUGGUUACUUAAGAAAUGGAUAUUAGUCCCGCCUAAAAUUUUCUUAAUUAAUAAAAAUAACAACAAAAUUUUAGAGUAAUUCAAAUAAGGUACAGCCUAUUUGAAACAGGAUACAACCUAAAUAAAUGGGUAAUUAAAUAAUUUUUUAAUAAAGUAGGCCUAAAAGCAGCCAUCUUCUAAAAAGCGUCAAAGCUUAGUUUUAAUUUAACUUAAUCUUAUUAAUUAUGAAAAACCCUUAAUCUAUAUUAAGUAAUUCUAUAUUAUUAUAGAACAUAUUAUGUUAAAAUUAGUAACAAGAAUCAAAAUUUCUCUCAAAUGCAAGUGUAAAUCAGAUCGGAUACACCACUGAUUAUUAACAUUCUUGAACCUAAAGUAAUAACUAAUCAAGAAAAUUUUACUUAAUUACAUGUUAACCUAACACAAGAGCAUUACAAGACAGAUUUAAAGAAAAAGAAGGAACUCGGCAAAUAUUAACCUCGCCUGUUUACCAAAAACAUCGCCUCUUGAUUGUAUAUAAGAGGUCCAGCCUGCCCAGUGACUUUGUUCAACGGCCGCGGUAUCCUAACCGUGCGAAGGUAGCGUAAUCACUUGUUCUUUAAAUAAGGACUAGUAUGAAUGGCAUCACGAAGGUUAUACUGUCUCCCUUUUCUAAUCAGUGAAAUUAAUCUUUCCGUGAAGAAGCGGGAAUAUAUAUAUAAGACGAGAAGACCCUAUGGAGCUUUAAACUCUCAGCAACUAUUUUUAUAUCUAAAUCUUAAAAAAAUAAAAUUCAUCUUGAUAGCAUGACUGUUAGUUUUUGGUUGGGGUGACCACGGAGUACAAUUUAACCUCCAUGAUGAAUUAGAACAUGUUUCUAAGCAAAGAACUACAAUUCAAAGUAUCAAAAAAUUGACACAUUGACCCAAUAAUUUGAUCAACGAACCAAGUUACCCUAGGGAUAACAGCGCAAUCCAUCUUAAGAGUCCAUAUCGCCAGAUGGGUUUACGACCUCGAUGUUGGAUCAGGGUAUCCCAGUGGUGUAGCCGCUACUAAAGGUUUGUUUGUUCAACAAUUAAAACCCU
Molecule: ribosomal RNA, 1419 nt
Filed under: Agalychnis hulli
Lineage: Eukaryota; Metazoa; Chordata; Amphibia; Anura; Hylidae
Description: Hylomantis hulli partial 16S ribosomal RNA
Rfam family: Bacterial large subunit ribosomal RNA
Source: RNAcentral